This 133-nucleotide ribosomal RNA is filed under the name uncultured bacterium. Its description in RNAcentral is "partial 16S ribosomal RNA". The record is from RNAcentral.
GGUACCGUCAGUACAUGGCGGUAUUAUCACCAUGUAGGUUCUUCCCACUUGACAGAGCUUUACGACCCGAAAGCCUUCAUCACUCACGCGGCGUUGCUGCGUCAGGGUUUCCCCCCAUUGCGCAAAAUUCCUC